UUCAAUAAACAACUAGACUUCGUAACGUUUGGUAAAGUUUAAUGUUCGAACGAUGAGUACAAUAAGAUGGUCAGCAAACAAAUGAUUAAAUUAUAGUUAUAAAGUUUUGUAAAUGUUUUUCAUGUUGCUAUGUAUCAAAUUAAAUCAAUAAAUGAGAAGAAUGAAAUUAGUUGGUGAAUGAAUGAAAUGAAGUUAGUAGUGCUGAAGUUGGUAGUACUGAAGUUGUCGCUGUACGCCACAGCACUCCCCUCCCAGCGAUGUUCUACGUUGCGAAUUUAACUUUCUUCUUAGGGCCAGAAUAAGUUUUAAAUUGUUUACCCGAAGAAGUCGAAGUAGAUGAAUCAGAAGAAAUAGAAGGUGUCGUAAACACCAAAGUGCCGGUGUCUAUUUCUUUUGGAAGGAAGGCUGGUUUAAGACGUUCGGUAGUGAUAUUUACAGUUUUACCUAAAAUAUCAAUCGUGAAAAGAUAAUCAUUAAUUUUUUCAACAACACGAAAAGGACCAGAAUAAGGAAGUUGAAAAGAUUUUCUAACAGUAUCAUCUUUAACCCAAACGAUCAGAAGGAAGAUUUUCAAUGAAAAAUUCUACAGGAAUUUUUAGUGAUCCAUAAAGCAUUUCCGCUGGAGAUGCAUUUAAAUCUUCUUUGAAGCAAGUGCGAAGUCCAAAUAGAACGAAUGCCAUUGGAAACUGGAUGAUAAGCUGAAGUUCUUAUUCGCUCGUAACCUAUAAGGUUGGUAAGAGCUUUAAAUAAUGCAGCUUCAAACUGAGGACCUUGAUCGGUUGUAAUUGUUUGGGAGGCACCAUAUUUCGCAACCCAAUGUACAUAGAAAGCUGAGGAAAUAGUUUCCGUAGAGAUUUCUAUCAAAAGAAUCGGGAAAAUCUGGAAAAUCUGUCAAUCAUGGUUAAACAAUAACAAAAAUUUUGACAAAUAGGAACAGGCCCAAUUAAGAUGAAUAUGUUGAAAACGUUGAUCUGGAACAACAAUUUUCUGUGGAAGAUUUUUAGUGUAUUUCUGAACUUUAGCACGUUGACAAGAUAACCAAGAUCUUGCUCAUUCUUUGAUAUCCUUCUUCAUGAUUAGCCAAAUAUAUUUCUGUUGUAUUAAUUUACAGGUAGAACGACAACUUGGGUGAGAUAAACCAUGAACAACAUUAAAUAUUUUUCUACGAAGUUGUUGAGGUACAUAAGGACGAAUAUUGACAGUAGAACAGUCACAGAAAAUGGAUGUAGUAGAACCAGAAAAGAAACUAUCAUUGGCAUCGAAAUGGAUUCGAUUCUUGAAAGGGAAUCUACAACUACAUUUUGUUUGCCAGAAAUAUGCUCAAAAUUAGUUGAAAAUUGAGCAAUGAAAUCAAGAUGUCGAAUCUGUCUGGGAGAUGCUUUAUCUAAUUUCUGUUGAAAAGCAUAAAUUAGAGGUUUAUGAUCUGUCCGAAUGAGAAUUUGGCGUACUUCAAGCUUAUAUUUAAAAUGUUUAAUUGCUAGAUAAAUAGAGAGAAAGAAGUUCUCGAUCAUGCACCUACUGCAAAAUUUGAUGCGUCACAAGUAAGGAUGAGAGGUACAUUCGAAGCAGGAUGUGCUAAAGUGGAAACCCAUAAAAGUUCUUCCUUACAAUUCUUGAAGGUUUCAUCCGCUUCAGAAGUCCAGAUGUUGGCUUAAUUCCUUGCUUAGUGACUAAAUAACCAAGGAAAGGAAUUUCAUGUUUGCCAAAGAGGCAUUUGGACAAAUUAAUAGUCAUGCCAAAUUGUUUGAGAUGAUUAAAAACAAUGUGAAGAUGUCUAGAAUGCUCUUUCUCGUCCUCAGAAGCAAUUAAUAUGUCAUCAAGAUAGCAAAAACAAAAAUCAAGUUCUGAUAGUAUAAUAUUCAUGAGACGUUGAAAAGUUUGAGCAGCAUUACGCAAACCAAAAGGCAGGAAUUCAAAGAGGCCAAAAGUGAAAUCUUGUAUAGGGGGAAGUUGAUAUCGAUCAGGAAUAGUGGCUGCGUUCAAAGCUCGAUAAUCUCCACAAAGUCUCCAUGAAUUCUGUCCAUUUUUGAGAACCAUAUGAAGUGGAGUUGCCCAUGUACUGUUUGACGGUCGACAAAUUCUUUGUUCUACCAUGAGGUUGAAUUCAUCCCUUGCAAAUUUCAAUUUUUCUGGAGACAGUCUACGAGGUGUCGAAGCAAUCGGACCUUUAGUAAUAAUAUGAUGUUCUACAUGAUGAAUCUUGAUUGUAAAAAUAGGAGCAAAACGAGUUAAUUCAGAGAAAUCAGCGAGAAUCUUAUAAAAAGAAACCAAAGAAAUGUCAGCUCCUGUAUCGAUUAAAAAAUUAAGUCUUGAGAACUUGUCAAAAAUAAUGAGACGAUUGGUAGGUGAACCGUUGUCAGCCGCCUCACAACUCAACGGUGGAGUUAGUUUUCUUGAUUAUCAAUUAGAGAUUUAGACAUGUCACAAGAUCUACUACGUGGGCGUUUAAUUUCAAGUGCAGCAAUUCUUCGUUUGAGAUAUGCCAAAUUUGAAGUAUUUUCUUUAACUGGGGAAGCUAUUGAUGCUACUUACAGGCUAGUUUCGCGAUUCAUAAUUUUAUCGGUUCAGCCAGUUUAAAGAACAAUCUUCAACAACAGCUAAAAUGGAUUUUCGAUUAUCUCCGCAAUUGCUAAUAAUGCUUGCACAUCAAGAUGCUGAACAACUGAGCUAUAUUUAACGUCGUCUGAGCGAAUUCGAAAGAUUGUAAAUUCACUUUCUAAUCCAGCAAACCACAAUUUAGGCUGUUUAUGCCAAAAAUUCGGUAAUUUGAAAAAAAACGAAAUUUAUUUGAAUGGAUCUCGUUUGGCUGACCUUAUUGAUGAGGCUCACUACCGGUAUGACGAAGAGUUUCCAAAUUAUUUGUUACGUGUUGCUGGAAUUCCUCUAAUGGAAUUGACGCUAAAGUUCCUGGAGUAGCAAUCGGAGAUCUGUCUAAAGGCAUCGAUUUUUUCUUGAUAUGAAAGUUUCCGAAGUCGGUGGUUUAAGUUCACCCGUGCGGGUACACAAAAUAUUUUCACAAUCUUGUAUCACGUCGAGGUCACCAGUUGUGGUGCGGAUUCAAUAAACAACUAGACUUCGUAACGUUUGAUAAAGUUUAAUGUUCGAACGAUGCGUACAAUAAGAUGGUCAGCAAACGAAUGAAUAAAUGUUAUAAAGUUUUGUAAAUGUUUUCCAUGUUGCUAUGUAUCAAAUUAAAUCAAUAAAUGAGAUGAAUGAAAUUAGUUGGCGAAUGAAUGAAAUGAAGUUGGUAGUACUGAAGUUGUCGCUGUACGCCACACCGAGCAAGAUAGUUGAUGUCUCUCUACUCGCCUUCGCUCUUCAAGUAUUAUGCUCCGUCCUUCAAGUCCGCGGGAAAA
Long non-coding RNA from Cataglyphis hispanica, 3356 nucleotides. RefSeq lists it as uncharacterized. The transcript has 10 exons. Lineage: Eukaryota; Metazoa; Arthropoda; Insecta; Hymenoptera; Formicidae. The record is from RefSeq and is a predicted model, not a curated record.